This 646-nucleotide ribosomal RNA is filed under the name Pleurotus ostreatus (oyster mushroom). RNAcentral describes it as "LSU rRNA". It matches the Rfam family "Eukaryotic large subunit ribosomal RNA", at positions 39 to 689 of the family's 3401-position model. Lineage: Eukaryota; Fungi; Basidiomycota; Agaricomycetes; Agaricales; Pleurotaceae. The record is from RNAcentral.
CAUAUCAAUAAGCGGAGGAAAAGAAACUAACAAGGAUUCCCCUAGUAACUGCGAGUGAAGCGGGAAAAGCUCAAAUUUAAAAUCUGGUGGUCUUUGGCCAUCCGAGUUGUAAUCUAGAGAAGUGUUAUCCGCGCUGGACCGUGUACAAGUCCCCUGGAAUGGGGCGUCAUAGAGGGUGAGAAUCCCGUCUUUGACACGGACUACCAGGGCUUUGUGAUGCACUCUCAAAGAGUCGAGUUGUUUGGGAAUGCAGCUCAAAAUGGGUGGUAAAUUCCAUCUAAAGCUAAAUAUUGGCGAGAGACCGAUAGCGAACAAGUACCGUGAGGGAAAGAUGAAAAGAACUUUGGAAAGAGAGUUAAACAGUACGUGAAAUUGUUGAAAGGGAAACGCUUGAAGUCAGUCGCGUCUGCCAGGGAUCAACCUUACUUUUGUGAGGCGUACUUCCUGGUUGAUGGGUCAGCAUCAGUUUUGGUCGCUGGAUAAAGGUCAGAGAAAUGUGGCACCUUCGGGUGUGUUAUAGUCUUUGAUCAGAUACAGUGGCUGGGACUGAGGAACUCAGCGCCGCAAGGCUGUCUUAGGAUGCUGGCAAAAUGGCUUUAAUCGACCCGUCUUGAAACACGGACCAAGGAGUCUAACAUGCCUGCGA